AGAAAAAAGAGAUCUUGCUCUGCAAUAGUUGGACAUUAAUGAGCAUGCAAUGUGCUCCCACUUGUUUCCAAUUUUUCUUGUUUUCCUUUCUCUUUGUCAUGACCAAGGCUGUCCAAGCCAAUCAAAAAAAGGGUAGUAGCUGU
This 143-nucleotide non-coding RNA is filed under the name Thalassiosira rotula. Lineage: Eukaryota; Bacillariophyta; Thalassiosirophyceae; Thalassiosirales; Thalassiosiraceae. The record is from RNAcentral.